CCUACGGGUGGCAGCAGUCGAGAAUCAUUCACAAUGGGGGAAACCCUGAUGCUGCGACGCCGCGUGGGGGAAUGAAGGUCUUCGGAUUGUAAACCCCUGUCAUGUGGGAGCAAAUUAAAAAGAUAGUACCAUAAGAGGAAGAGAUGGCUAACUCUGUGCCAGCAGCCGCGGUAAUACGGAGGUCGCAAGCGUUGUUCGGAAGCACUGGGCGUAAAGCGUGCGGAGGCGGGUUGGUAAGUCGUGUGUGAAAGGCGCGGGCUCAACCCGCGGACUGCACAUGAAACUGGGAGACUAGAGUAAUGGAGAGGGAAGCGGAAUUCUUGGUGUAGCGGUGAAAUGCGUAGAUAUCGAGAGGAACACUGGUGGCGAAGGCGGGUUCCUGGACAUUAACUGACGCUGAGGCGCGAAGGCCAGGGGAGCGAAAGGGAUUAGAUACCCGAGUAGUC
Molecule: ribosomal RNA, 446 nt
Filed under: uncultured bacterium
Lineage: Bacteria
Description: partial 16S ribosomal RNA
Rfam family: Bacterial small subunit ribosomal RNA
Source: RNAcentral